UACGUAGGGUGCAAGCGUUGUCCGGAAUUAUUGGGCGUAAAGAGCUCGUAGGCGGUCUGUCGCGUCGGCUGUGAAAACUCAGGGCUCAACCCUGAGCGUGCUUCCGAUACGGGCAGACUAGAGGUAUGCAGGGGAGAACGGAAUUCCUGGUGUAGCGGUGAAAUGCGCAGAUAUCAGGAGGAACACCGGUGGCGAAGGCGGAUCUCUGGGCCAGUAUUGACGCUGGGGAGCGAAAGCGUGGGUAGCAAACGAGG
Molecule: ribosomal RNA, 254 nt
Filed under: uncultured bacterium
Lineage: Bacteria
Description: partial 16S ribosomal RNA
Rfam family: Bacterial small subunit ribosomal RNA
Source: RNAcentral